CCUACGGGAGGCUGCAGUGGGGGAUAUUGCACAAUGGGGGAAACCCUGAUGCAGCGACGCCGCGUGAGCGAUGAAGUAUUUCGGUAUGGAAAGCUCUAUCAGCAGGGAAGAAAAUGACGGUACCUGACUAAGUAUCCCCGGCUAACUACGUGCCAGCAGCCGCGGCAAUACGUCGGGGGCCAGCGUUAUCCGGAUUUACUGGGUGUAAAGGGAGCGUAGUCGGCAGUGCAAGUCUGAAGUGAAAGGCAAGGGCUCAACCCUUGGACUGCUUUUGAAACUGUGCUGCUGGAGAGUCGGAGAGGUAAGUGGAAUUCGUGGUGUAGCGGUGAAAUGCGUAGAUAUUAGGAGGAACACCAGUGGCGAAGGCGGCUUGCUGGACGAUGACUGACGUUGAGGCUCGAAAGCGUGGGGAGCAAACAGGAUUAGAUACCCGAGUAGUC
This 440-nucleotide ribosomal RNA is filed under the name uncultured bacterium. Its description in RNAcentral is "partial 16S ribosomal RNA". It matches the Rfam family "Bacterial small subunit ribosomal RNA", at positions 338 to 795 of the family's 1533-position model. The record is from RNAcentral.